Molecule: ribosomal RNA, 253 nt
Filed under: uncultured bacterium
Lineage: Bacteria
Description: partial 16S ribosomal RNA
Rfam family: Bacterial small subunit ribosomal RNA
Source: RNAcentral
UACAGAGGUCCCAAGCGUUGUUCGGAAUCACUGGGCUUAAAGGGCGCGUAGGCGGGUCAGCAAGUCUGGGGUGAAAUCUUUCGGCUUAACCGGAAAAGUGCCUUGGAAACUGCUGGUCUAGAGGGAGGUAGGGGCAUGUGGAACUUCCGGUGGAGCGGUGAAAUGCGUUGAUAUCGGAAGGAACGCCGGUGGCGAAAGCGACGUGCUGGAUCUCUUCUGACGCUGAGGCGCGAAAGCCAGGGGAGCAAACGGG